Juglans microcarpa x Juglans regia is the source of this 1349-nucleotide long non-coding RNA. RefSeq lists it as uncharacterized. The record is from RefSeq and is a predicted model, not a curated record. Lineage: Eukaryota; Viridiplantae; Streptophyta; Magnoliopsida; Fagales; Juglandaceae. The transcript is spliced from 2 exons.
UCCAAGUUGCCAUUUGGAAUUUUCUUGCCACAUGAUUCAUUGCUGUGAUCUUCACGUCCAAAUUGCCUCGCACGAUUUAUUGUUGUGAUCUUCACGAUUUAUUGCAAGAUUUCUUGCCACUUUUUGCUUGUUCAGAUCCAAAUUUUAGCUGGGUUGUUGGAUUUAAGGAGUUUGCACACCUAUAGUGGGGAUUUUCUCUGCAGUUGCUAUAGUGGGACCAACCUUUUUCCUUGCAAUUGCCAUGUUUGCUUUUGUGUUUCAAAUUAGUUCUUUGAUCACAGAGAAAGAGCUUAAGCUUCGCUCUUAAAAUCUUUGUACCAGUGACAGUCCUGGCACUUCUUAUCCUCAUUCCAGUCAAUGUAUCAAGUGGGACACUAUUUUUCCUCAGAAGAGAACUGGUUGUGAGUGAUAUUGAUAAGCUUUCAAUAUCAAAUGUUUGCCCUAAAUCUAUAAGGUAAUUUUGUGUACUAUGUAUAUAAUUCAAAAAAAAUACUUAAAAAAUAUUGAUAUGCUAGUGAGAGCUGAACUAAUGAUUUUCUGUUGAGUUUCUCAAAUCACUACUGAAGACAGAAGUAGAACUACACAAAUGCAUGUUCUACUAAUUUUACAAUGUAACUGUGUUAUACCCAUUAGGUCCCCCAUUAGGCGGGUGAUCUAUGGUAGAAGGGAAUGAGCAUGAUAAAGGUGUGCUCAGUGCCAAAUCCCACCAUUGUUUCUUACUAGUUGGAACUGGAUUUCACAUGAUUCCUAAGAGCUCUAACUAAAUGUAUAAUUCUAGAUAUAGCUUGAACUUUCUUUGGAUUGUUACACAUGAUGUGUAUAUGAGAUGAGAUAACUUUCAUAGUUAAAUUUGAAGUUACCUUACUAAGAACUAGUAUGUCAAAGGCAUGGUUAUCUUAAAUAAUUUGCUCUAAAUGUGUAUGAAAAAGUGAGUUGAAUGUGGAUAUUAACUUUGUAUGAUUCUCGUACUGACAUUAUUGCAAUCUCACAUAUUCUGGAUGAUUUUAGGAUAGUUUCUUCGCUAGCUUUGCUCUUGGUUGGGUAAUCACGAAUGGUGCUGGCCUUGCAUCCUAUCCAAUUGACACUGUCUGUAGAAGAAUGAUGAUGACAUCUGGUGAAGCUGUCAAGUAUAAAAGUUCCUUUGAUGCAAACUCUCAAAUCCUCAAGAAUGAGGGCCCCAAAUCUCUCUUUAAGGAAGCUGGUGCAAAUAUACUCCAUGCUGGUCCCAUUGUCCUUGGUUGUCAAAGCGGUCUCAAUUUCACUUUGUUGGUUUUUGAUUCAUACGCAAUUAUAAUUUGCUCUCUUUCGAAUUAUUACCAAUUUCAAAUUUGGGAAAAGCUUUUACUGAA